ACGGUACCGGAAUAAGAAGCACCGGCUAACUACGUGCCAGCAGCCGCGGUAAUACGUAGGGUGCGAGCGUUAAUCGGAAUUACUGGGCGUAAAGCGUGCGCAGGCGGUUUGGUAAGUCAGAUGUGAAAUCCCCGGGCUCAACCUGGGAACUGCAUUUGAGACUGCCAAGCUGGAGUUUGGCAGAGGGGGGUGGAAUUCCACGUGUAGCAGUGAAAUGCGUAGAGAUGUGGAGGAACACCGAUGGCGAAGGCAGCCCCCUGGGCCAAUACUGACGCUCAUGCACGAAAGCGUGGGGAGCAAACAGGAUUAGAUACCCUGGUAGUCCACGCCCUAAACGAUGUCAACUAGGUGUUGGGAGGGUUAAACCUUUUAGUGCCGUAGCUAACGCGUGAAGUUGACCGCCUGGGGAGUACGGCCGCAAGGCUAAAACUCAAAGGAAUUGACGGGGACCCGCACAAGCGGUGGAUGAUGUGGAUUAAUUCGAUGCAACGCGAAAAACCUUACCUACCCUUGACAUGUCAGGAAUCCUGGAGAGAUCUGGGAGUGCUCGCAAG
RNAcentral lists this ribosomal RNA (554 nucleotides) under uncultured bacterium. RNAcentral describes it as "bacterial SSU rRNA". It matches the Rfam family "Bacterial small subunit ribosomal RNA", at positions 472 to 1024 of the family's 1533-position model. The record is from RNAcentral.